GGGAUAGUCCCAUGAUCCUAGGAGAGGGCAGACGUGAGCCAGCCUGAAGAAAUGUCAUCAGAGUCCCAGAAUAAACUGCAAAAUCCCUGAGGUUCCAAAAAAUCUGCAGGAUGUUUCAGGCCUGCCUAGACAUUUUAGAGAGAGCCCCUGUGAGGCCCAGGAAGAAGGGAGGCAGUGAGGUCAAGAGCCUGGCAAUCUUUCAUUGACACCCUCGUCUGGGGUCUCAGCGACAAUUUCCUGCGGCUUGGCAGAGAAAGAGACCUCUGUGGAGGUGCGUCAGUGGUGGACUCUCACCUGUUGGAUGCAGGGGAUAGUCCCAUCAUCCUAGGUGAGCGCAGACGUGAGCCAGCCUGAAGAAACGGCAGCCAUAGCCUCAGGAAUAAACCGCAAUAUCCCUAAUGAUCCAAAAAGAUCUGCAGGAUUUCUCAGGCCUGCCUACACAUCGUAGCGCCCUUGCCAGAACGGUGGUGCAGUGAUGUAUUACCUGCCAACAGCACAAUGUGAGGCAGGGUCCAGCCGUUCUGCCCAGCAUACAACUUGAGGGAGCAGCCCCUUUUGAAGACCUCCAGGUGGACUUCACAGGAAUGCCAAAGUGUGGAGUGAUCAUGUGUGGAUCAAGGACUGGAAUGUAGCCCACCCACAACUACGGUGGGAAGGACCCCAGACCAUCAUUUUGACGACUCUCACAGCAUGAAAAUAGAAGGAUUCCCAGCCUGGAUCAAUCACAGUCAUGUAUCAUCUACAUUGUCUGAGACCUGAGAGGUGAGACUGAGCCUGGUGGACCCCUGCAAAGUGACAUUGAGAAAGAUGGCAAGCCCUGCUACAGUCACAACCAGAAGCUUACUGUUGUAUGCAUGGCAAAAGAAUGAGGAUACUCAUCAUGGGAUUUAUUCUCCUUAAAAUUUGUACUUCUAUAAUAAAGACUGAUUUUUCCUGCAUGGAGGACUGUUC
RNAcentral lists this long non-coding RNA (951 nucleotides) under Homo sapiens (human). RNAcentral describes it as "HSALNT0288068". The record is from RNAcentral. Lineage: Eukaryota; Metazoa; Chordata; Mammalia; Primates; Hominidae.